RNAcentral lists this ribosomal RNA (640 nucleotides) under uncultured bacterium. RNAcentral describes it as "bacterial SSU rRNA". It matches the Rfam family "Bacterial small subunit ribosomal RNA", at positions 202 to 842 of the family's 1533-position model. The record is from RNAcentral.
UAAAGAUUCAUCGGCUGCGGAUGGCCAUGCGGCGCAUUAGCUAGUCGGCGGGGUAACGGCCCACCGAGGCGACGAUGCGUAGGGGUUCUGAGAGGAAGGUCCCCCACACUGGUACUGAGACACGGACCAGACUCCUACGGGAGGCAGCAGUGAGGAAUAUUGGUCAAUGGCCGGGAGGCUGAACCAGCCAAGUCGCGUGAGGGAAGACGGCCCUACGGGUUGUAAACCUCUUUUGUCAGGGAGCAAGAGGCGGGUCGGGACCUGCUGUGAGAGUACCUGAAGAAAAAGCAUCGGCUAACUCCGUGCCAGCAGCCGCGGUAAUACGGAGGAUGCGAGCGUUAUCCGGAUUUAUUGGGUUUAAAGGGUGCGCAGGCGGAGGCACAAGUCAGCGGUAAAAUCGCGGGGCUCAACCCCGCUCCGCCGUUGAAACUGUGUCCCUUGAGUGCGCGAAGGGUAGGCGGAAUGCGUGGUGUAGCGGUGAAAUGCAUAGAUAUCACGCAGAACUCCGAUCGCGAAGGCAGCCUACCGGCGCGCAACUGACGCUCAUGCACGAAAGCGUGGGUAUCGAACAGGAUUAGAUACCCUGGUAGUCCACGCAGUAAACGAUGAAUGCUAUCUGUCCGGCCGGAAUGACGGCUGG